RNAcentral lists this non-coding RNA (24 nucleotides) under Mus musculus (house mouse). The record is from RNAcentral. Lineage: Eukaryota; Metazoa; Chordata; Mammalia; Rodentia; Muridae.
UUUUAAGAAGGUGUCUAAGGAUGU